AUGGUUAGAGUUGGAAGGGACCUUAAAGAUAAUGAUCUUUACAUCGAGUUCCAACCCCCCUGCCCUGGGCAGGGACACCUCCCACCAGACCAGGUUGCUCAAAGCCCCAUCCAGCCCGGCCUUGAACCCCUCCAGGGAUGGGGCAGCCACAACUUCUCUGGUGUUUUAAUUUGUGUAGACCUUUGUUGCUCUACCAGCUUAGGAGUCGCUGCUCAUUUGAGACCUGGCCGUUGCUCACUUGUGCAUAUUUUGUCCGCUUGUCGGGGUGCAGGGAAACACUGGGCUGUGUCAGAGUUAAGGCAGUUUCCUCUGGGUUAUGGGAACCUGAGGUUCAAGUCACCGGUCAAAGUCUUUUAGGGGAGAUCUUGGCCUCAAACCUGCCUCUCCUUUCCCAGCUCUGUCUGCUGCUGGGCAAGAGCCCGCUCUAAGGUUCUGCUCUCUCGCCAUUUGCCUUGAUCUCACCGGAAGAGCUCUGAUCAGGAUUGUUCUGUGGACUCUCAAAUGAAAAGCUGGAAUUUCAGUUACUUUUCUGGUGGAAAAAUAUUUCAUCGGAAGAAUUCCCGUGUGGCCUUGGCAUGCUUUCAGCUGGCAUCCUGCCUGCCCCUCUCUGAAAAUAGCGCUGAUUUUGAGCGCAAGCGCUUCUUGUGAGGCCGGUUUCUUCAGUUGCAAUCCCUCGCUGAGGUUUCUUUUUCACCUCGAGCGGACGGUAGGAGCUGGCCUCUUGUGAGGUGGCAUUGAAGUGACCUUCUGGGGCUGCCUGCAUGUCAUGCUGCCCUUCACGAGAGAGCACGGCUGAGAGAUGCCGGAGUUCCUGCAGCAUUUAAGGAGCAGCCACUGCCCUGCUGCUCCUUGCUGUCUGCUCUUAAGACUCGCCACCGCCCCCAGCUCUGGCAGCCGCCUUUGCAAAAAAGCUCUGUGGGCAGUGGAAGCGAGCUGGUUUCGUCAUGACAAUGUAGUUAUCCUUUUAAGGGAAAAUUCCCUCUGGGAGCCAACCCUCAAUUACCUCCUGCUCCAGUGCCUUCUUGUUGGAGAUGGCUUGUACCACAGCUGAGUUACAGCCACAGUAACUCGGUCGAGCACCCAGCCGCUCCAAAAAAAAAUACGAUCGUUAAACUCUGUUGGCCUCUCUUGUUUGCUAGUGAUCGCUGCAUCUAGAAACUGGGGUCAAACCCCAAAGGGCUGGCUCCCCUCAUCAGUGCAUUUGCGCAGAGCCAAUCUGUGGACUGUACAUUUUCAAACCGAGAUGCUAUUCCCAUGGUAUUCACGGGGUCGCAUGCAGAUACCAUCAUCUUCCCUACAAAAAGUCCGUUGCAAGACUCAGGAGCUUUGGGUAGUAGAAGACUGGUGAUAAUCAGCC
Molecule: long non-coding RNA, 1357 nt
Filed under: Calidris pygmaea (Spoon-billed sandpiper)
Lineage: Eukaryota; Metazoa; Chordata; Aves; Charadriiformes; Scolopacidae
Description: lncRNA (ENSCPGG00000014376.1)
Source: RNAcentral